RNAcentral lists this ribosomal RNA (253 nucleotides) under uncultured bacterium. RNAcentral's name for it is "partial 16S ribosomal RNA". It matches the Rfam family "Bacterial small subunit ribosomal RNA", at positions 524 to 776 of the family's 1533-position model. The record is from RNAcentral.
UACGUAGGGUGCAAGCGUUAAUCGGAAUUACUGGGCGUAAAGCGCGCGCAGGCGGCUGAGUCAGUCGGUUGUGAAAGCCCUGGGCUUAACCUGGGAAUUGCAGUCGAUACUACUCAGCUAGAGUAUGGGAGAGGGUAGUGGAAUUCCCGGUGUAGCGGCGAAAUGCGUAGAUAUCGGGAGGAACAUCAGUGGCGAAGGCGGCUACCUGGCCCAAUACUGACACUCAGGUGCGAAAGCGUGGGGAGCAAACAGG